ACAGUGAUGAUGUCUACCGCUGCUCCCAAAGACAAUAUGUGGGUUUUCCUUGCAAAGAAGUCAGGCGGUAAUCUUUCCGGAACCCGUUGCUGGGACGUUGUUCAGGACACAACAAGUGGUAACUGAAACCCAUCUCCUGGAGACAACUCGCGUGGAAUCUCAUUGUUUACGUUCUUGGCGACAUGGACAAUGUUGAUGACUACCACAUUUGGCAGCGCCGUGUCCACCACGGGAUCAGGUACCAGAAAGACGCAGUUCCCUUUCCAGAGUCGGUUGAUAUCGGUUUGGAGUUCAACGCGGCGUUGGAACGGAAGGACAAGUUGGAUCACAGUCUGCUGACGAACAGCGUGAUGCUGGAGCUCGGGGAUUUCGCCAAAGCGGUGACCAAGUCCGAGAAGUACUUCCUCUUCGAAAUGCUCGCCUUCAACUUUGACCUCGGUGUGGACGUGGACGAUGACAUGCAGUACUAUCAAUAUGCAACGUGUGUUCACCAAAAAAUUAGGUCUCUGAAAGAACAAACCAGGGGGAAACCUGAAAGAUUGAAGGAAGCGUUUCCACUUCCAGAUCUAAGCGCUAUGACGGCGUCCUCGGGUUCAGCGGCGCCUGGACAGUACUACUUCAAAAGAAACAAAAUGGUGGAUAGUUCAGUCCUCACCGAUCCCCGCUGCCGGUCUUCACAAAAGCAGAUGACUGAGAGUGACGGGGCCGCACAAAGCCGUAGGUUCAUUUUAAAAAAGAAAGUCGGGUUACAACAAGCGGAUAACGUUUACCCUCGCUGCCGAGAGCUCGCUGUGACUCUGGCCAUUGGACCGAAUGAAGCACCCAAACAGAAACAAGCCCGGAAUCUGCUGAGCGUCGCCGUGGUGUUGGAGCUGCUGGAUUUUUCCCGAGUGCUUUGUGGAACGCACACUCAGCUCGUGUGCGACUUGGUUGAGCAAAACUUUGGUCUGGAGCUGGAUCCGGCCAUGUUCCGUUUGCAGUUCAAGAAGCUGACGGACAGAAAAUAUUGCGGCGUCACGGCCGAGCAGAGAGACGGCUUCCGAAAGAAGCCUUUUAAGUUCCAGGUCAAGAAGCAGGAACAGAAGUACGCGAGGAGACGGAACCGCGACGCAGAUUUCCAGGAACCGGAAGGACUGACGGUGGCUAGUAAGAGACGGACAACGCUGAGGCACAGGGACGGCGAUGUCCUGGACACUCACCUGUCGUACAUGUGUCCGAUUGAGUUUGAGACAGAAAUGGAUGAGGAGGUCGGACUAGAAAAGAUGAAGCUUGAAAGUCAUUGGUCAGGAACAGCCGUCGAUUCACUGGAUGUGAAGCGAGAGGCGGGAGAAGUUGUUGUCUCCCCAGCGCAACCGCGGACUAAGGGUUCGUUCAACUCUCAUCCGAGCGAUGGGGCGAUCUCGCGUCUGUUCUCGGAAGACGGCGACAACGUCAAGGUAAAAACGCUGAGGCAGAGGCUGUGGAUGAAGAGAGCCGCUCGCUCCAAACACAUCCUGAAGUCGUGGCGAGUGAACGACCUGUUCGCCCGCUGCAGAGCGAUCGGGUUGGACUUCAACGUCGGUUCGGGCAACAAGCAGAGCUUGGAUCUGCGACUGCUCACCAACCUUGUGCUGUGUGAGGUGUUGAGAUUUGCAACUGCCAUGAGAAAGAGGUUACAAGGUUUUUUAUUUCACAUUCUGGACGGCAACUUUAACCUCGUCCAAGACGAACAGCGUCGGCAGAACUUUGUAUACUACUUCAUGACCACGGGAAAGGUUCUUCAGAGCCACCCGGCGAGAAGGAGGUCGGAGUUCCUGUGCAGUCCCUUUCAUUUCCCAGAGAUCUACAACGUGACCAGCAGGUUCCCGUCUGCACGGCAAGUCAAAGCCGAGCGGCAGACCAACUGCGAGUCAUCGCUCCCAGUUACAAACCGGCGGGCGGAGGCGGAGCGUCACCCGUUCUGCAAAAAGUUAGGUCUCGAUCUCUGGUCGACAGAAGAACGUCCGCCGAGCCAGAAGCUGGAUUUGUCCGAGCUGACCAAGGGCGCCGUGUUAGACAUACUCGGCUUCGUCAGGGAGCUGUGCGGCGACGUGCCCGAGACCGUGAACGACAUCCUGGAGCACAACUUUGAUCUGGAGCUGCAGAGCGGCGCGACCGAGGCCUCGCGGGCGAUCCAGAGGUGGUACGCGACGCAGAGAAGCCUGAUGAAAAACCGCAGCAGAGUCGCAGCAAAGAUAACCAGGUGGUUGAACAUGGUCGUCCCACUGGGCAAAGAGGCUCUGGAGCAUCUGGAUUCAGAAGACGACAAACAUCCCGACGCGGAGGGGACGGUGAGACGGGUCGACAGCUACCGCAUCUGCAAAGAAAUAGGAUUGGACCUCGAUGUUCCCUCGGAUUCAGGAGCCAAAACUAAGCUGGAUUUGCGGGUGCUGACGAGGGGAGUCCUCUUCGAGGUGCACAGUGAGAGUAAGUGA
RNAcentral lists this long non-coding RNA (2453 nucleotides) under Scophthalmus maximus (turbot). RNAcentral's name for it is "lncRNA (ENSSMAG00000028085.1)". The record is from RNAcentral. Lineage: Eukaryota; Metazoa; Chordata; Actinopteri; Pleuronectiformes; Scophthalmidae.